UGUUGGUAAAGCGGAUGGAUCAGACUACAGGGGAACUGUAUCUGUCACAGUAUCAGGACACGUCUGCCAGAGAUGGGACUCUCAAUCACCUAAUAAACACAGCAGAACUGCUGAGAGAUACUCUGAUUCAGGACUGCAAGAGAACUAUUGCAGAAAUCCAGACGGUGAAUCAGGCGCCUGGUGUUAUAAUGCUGAGGGAACUGUGCCUCGAUGGGAGUAUUGUGAUAUACC
Long non-coding RNA from Bolinopsis microptera, 231 nucleotides. RefSeq lists it as uncharacterized. The record is from RefSeq and is a predicted model, not a curated record. NCBI's taxonomy places the organism in Eukaryota, Metazoa, Ctenophora, Tentaculata, Lobata, Bolinopsidae. The transcript is spliced from 3 exons.